RNAcentral lists this ribosomal RNA (393 nucleotides) under Staphylococcus aureus. Its description in RNAcentral is "bacterial SSU rRNA". It matches the Rfam family "Bacterial small subunit ribosomal RNA", at positions 1048 to 1442 of the family's 1533-position model. Lineage: Bacteria; Bacillati; Bacillota; Bacilli; Caryophanales; Staphylococcaceae. The record is from RNAcentral.
GUUGUCGUCAGCUCGUGUCGUGAGAUGUUGGGUUAAGUCCCGCAACGAGCGCAACCCUUAAGCUUAGUUGCCAUCAUUAAGUUGGGCACUCUAAGUUGACUGCCGGUGACAAACCGGAGGAAGGUGGGGAUGACGUCAAAUCAUCAUGCCCCUUAUGAUUUGGGCUACACACGUGCUACAAUGGACAAUACAAAGGGCAGCGAAACCGCGAGGUCAAGCAAAUCCCAUAAAGUUGUUCUCAGUUCGGAUUGUAGUCUGCAACUCGACUACAUGAAGCUGGAAUCGCUAGUAAUCGUAGAUCAGCAUGCUACGGUGAAUACGUUCCCGGGUCUUGUACACACCGCCCGUCACACCACGAGAGUUUGUAACACCCGAAGCCGGUGGAGUAACCUU